GAUGAACGCUAGCGGCAGGCUUAACACAUGCAAGUCGAGGGGCAGCAUGAGACGGAGAUUCGUCGAAGUCUUGAUGGCGACCGGCGCAAGGGUGCGUAACGCGUGAGCAACUUGCCCGUUUCUGGGGAAUAACCGGUGGAAACGCCGACUAAUACCCCAUAGCAUAUUUAGGAGGCAUCUCUUGAAUAUUAAAGAAUUUCGGAAACGGGUAGGCUCGCGUGACAUUAGCUAGAUGGUGGGGUAACGGCCCACCAUGGCGACGAUGUCUAGGGGUUCUGAGAGGAAGGUCCCCCACACUGGAACUGAGACACGGUCCAG
Molecule: ribosomal RNA, 318 nt
Filed under: uncultured bacterium
Lineage: Bacteria
Description: bacterial SSU rRNA
Rfam family: Bacterial small subunit ribosomal RNA
Source: RNAcentral